GAUGAACGCUAGCUACAGGCUUAACACAUGCAAGUCGAGCGGAAACGACAUCGAAAGCUUGCUUUUGAUGGGCGUCGACCGGCGCACGGGUGAGUAACGCGUAUCCAACCUGCCCAUCACUUGGGAAUAACCUUGCGAAAGUAAGACUAAUACCCAAUGACAUCCCACGAAGACAUCUGAAUGGGAUUACAGAUUUAUCGGUGAUGGAUGGGGAUGCGUCUGAUUAGCUUGUUGGCGGGGUAACGGCCCACCAAGGCAACGAUCAGUAGGGGUUCUGAGAGGAAGGUCCCCCACAGUGGAACUGAGACAAGGUCCAAAGGCAUACGGGAGGCAGCAGUGAGGAAUAUUGGUCAAUGGGCGAGAGCCUGAACCAGCCAAGUAGCGUGCAGGAUGACGGCCCUAUGGGUUGUAAACUGCUUUUAUAAGGGAAUAAAGUGGGUCUCGGGAGACUUUUUGCAUGUACCUUAUGAAUAAGGACCGGCUAAUUCCGUG
RNAcentral lists this ribosomal RNA (492 nucleotides) under uncultured bacterium. RNAcentral describes it as "partial 16S ribosomal RNA". It matches the Rfam family "Bacterial small subunit ribosomal RNA", at positions 28 to 507 of the family's 1533-position model. The record is from RNAcentral.